This 497-nucleotide ribosomal RNA is filed under the name uncultured bacterium. RNAcentral describes it as "partial 16S ribosomal RNA". It matches the Rfam family "Bacterial small subunit ribosomal RNA", at positions 28 to 507 of the family's 1533-position model. The record is from RNAcentral.
GACGAACGCUGGCGGCGUGCCUAAUACAUGCAAGUUGAGCGCUGAAGGUUGGUACUUGUACCAAAUGGAUGAGCAGCGAACGGGUGAGUAACGCGUGGGGAAUCUGCCUUUGAGCGGGGGACAACAUUUGGAAACGAAUGCUAAUACCGCAUAAAGACUUUAAACACAAGUUUUAAGUUUGAAAGAUGCAAUUGCAUCACUCAAAGAUGAUCCCGCGUUGUAUUAGCUAGUUGGUGAGGUAAAGGCUCACCAAGGCGAUGAUACAUAGCCGACCUGAGAGGGUGGUCGGCCACAUUGGGACUGGGACACGGCCCAAACUCCUACGGGGGGCAGCAGUAGGGAAUCUUCGGCAAUGGACGGAAGUCUGACCGAGCAACGCCGCGUGAGUGAAGAAGGUUUUCGGAUCGUAAAACUCUGUUGGUAGAGAAGAACGUUGGUGAGAGUGGAAAGCUCAUCAAGUGACGGUAACUACCCAGAAAGGGACGGCUAACUACGUG